RNAcentral lists this unclassified non-coding RNA (446 nucleotides) under Hevea brasiliensis (rubber tree). Lineage: Eukaryota; Viridiplantae; Streptophyta; Magnoliopsida; Malpighiales; Euphorbiaceae. The record is from RNAcentral.
CUGGCCAUGGCCUCUUGAUUUCCCCAUAAGACCAUUACUAUUACACAUUUCAAGAACGCCGGAUAACAUGAGAACAUCCUUAUCAAAAACCUCAAACUUCACACUCCCAUUAAUCCUUAUACUAUCAGUACUAACAAAUGUAGCUUCUUCAGACUUCUUAUCCAACCUAUCCCUCCUAAGAACGAUUGAUGGCCCAUCAGAGUUGACAGAAAUUCUAAUACCAUUUACUUCAAAAAGCAUAUCGGGGUGUAAUGGAAUGUGAUUUACCGUAAGGUACUCAGGAGUUGAGUCAUCAAUCUCACAUUUGCUAACACGAACAAAGAACACUCUUAAAUCAAGCCAAGGUGUUGGUACCUUAAUGCUGGGUUGAUAAGGAGUGUGUCUUGUAGUUGUAUGACCGUUAUCCAACAGCCCAUUUCCUUUACAUGUUUCAUAGGAAUUCUCCA